This 584-nucleotide long non-coding RNA is filed under the name Bos indicus x Bos taurus (hybrid cattle). RNAcentral's name for it is "lncRNA (ENSBIXG00005014267.1)". Lineage: Eukaryota; Metazoa; Chordata; Mammalia; Artiodactyla; Bovidae. The record is from RNAcentral.
CUUAUAUCAGGAAACCCAACAGGCUAAACCCAGCAUUUUGUUGCUGCUGUUGCUGUUUUAAGAACAAGCUGCUCAAUGUCUGUGCAUUGCCAAAGAGGGAGUGCUUUCCCUUCUCUCCAGACAGGAGGCUCCCAACAUUGAAAACAUUUCAGGAAAAAAGUAACAAAGGCAAUUCAAACAAGAAGUCUAAAUAUCCCAGGCCAUCCAGCUCCAGAAAUGACAUAAGAUUGAAUUUUUGCCUCUUUGCAUCCUGGAAAUAAAUGAGUAUGACACAGCUAUGACAUUAAGAGGAAAGAUAGAAUAUUCAAUAGACCUAUCACAGACCUUUCAUCACCCUGAUGGAUGUGGGACCUAGGGAACAGCCAACAGAAUGCAUUCACCAGUGAUCAUGACUAUUUCCUGGACAGAACAAAAUGCCAAUAACUUGGAUGCAGCAACUUCACAGGAACAUAUGAAAGACAUGCAACAUGGAAAACUUAUGGAAGAGCCAAGGCCCAGUGAGAACACAUGCUAAAAUAUGGUAAAUAUGGAAUAUGAUAAAAACUGAAAUCUGUGAAUAGUAAUAAAUCUAGUAUGUUUUGACA